CAUCGCCUCUUGACUAAAUAUAAGAGGUCCAGCCUGCCCACUGACAUAGUUUAACGGCCGCGGUACCCUAACCGUGCGAAGGUAGCAUAAUCACUUGUUCUUUAAAUAAGGACUCGUAUCAACGGCAUCACGAGGACUGUACUGUCUCCUUUCUCCAAUCAGUGAAACUGAUCUCCCCGUGAAGAAGCGGGGAUUAACCUAUAAGACGAGAAGACCCCAUGGAGCUUAAAGCCCAUAAACACCUCUACGCACUUAAAUCAAUCUAGCCUAAGAGACCUGUCAGCCAGCUUUAGGUUGGGGGGACCGCGGAGAAAAAUUUAACCUCCACGACAAACGGGCAAACGCCCUAAUCCAUGAAUUACAAUUCUAAGAAUCAAUAAACUGAUGUUUAAUGACCCGAUUAUUCGAUCAACGAACCAAGUUACCCUGGGGAUAACAGCGCAAUCUACUUUAAGAGCCCAUAUCGACAAGUAGGUUUACGACCUCGAUGUUGGAUCAGGGUAUCCUAGUGGUGCAGCCGCUACUAAAGG
This 530-nucleotide ribosomal RNA is filed under the name Amolops wuyiensis (Sanchiang sucker frog). RNAcentral's name for it is "partial large subunit ribosomal RNA". It matches the Rfam family "Bacterial large subunit ribosomal RNA", at positions 1826 to 2571 of the family's 2925-position model. Lineage: Eukaryota; Metazoa; Chordata; Amphibia; Anura; Ranidae. The record is from RNAcentral.